This 43890-nucleotide long non-coding RNA is filed under the name Populus tremula. RNAcentral describes it as "long non-coding RNA (PTRE_LNC002334)". The record is from RNAcentral. Lineage: Eukaryota; Viridiplantae; Streptophyta; Magnoliopsida; Malpighiales; Salicaceae.
CCUUGUUGUUUCAAUACCACAAUGGCCCUCUUCUUACCGGUGAAGUUUCUAUCAACUUGAUCUGGUAUGGCAACUUUAAGCCAUCGCAGCGAGCCAUUGUCUCAGAUUUUAUUGCCUCUGUCUCUUCUAGAAGACCCACAACAGCCCAACCCUCUGUGGCCACGUGGUGGAAAGCCACUGAGAAAUAUUACAACCUUGUCAAGACGAAGAAAACCUCUCCUCUUCUCCUCUCCGUAGGAGCACAGAUUUUAGACGAGAGCUAUUCGUUGGGGAAAUCGCUCUCCAGCAAGCAAAUCGUGCAGCUAGCAACGAAGGGUGGUCAAAAGGGUGCAAUCAACGUUGUUUUGACAUCAUCCGAUGUUGCUGUUGAAGGGUUUUGCUCUAGUAAAUGUGGUACUCAUGGGUCCUCCUUGAGCGCUAAAACAAUCAGCGGUAAGAGAUCUAAAUUUGCUUACAUUUGGGUCGGUAACUCUGAGACUCAAUGCCCCGGCCAGUGUGCGUGGCCAUUCCACCAGCCAAUCUAUGGACCACAGAACCCUCCAUUGGUUGCACCCAACAAUGACGUGGGUCUUGAUGGUAUGGUGAUCAAUCUGGCUAGUCUUUUGGCUGGGACUGCAACAAACCCAUUUGGAAAUGGCUACUUCCAGGGUCCGAAGGAGGCUCCUCUUGAGGCCGCGUCUGCUUGUCCUGGGGUCUAUGGUAAGGGUGCGUAUCCUGGUUAUGCUGGGGAUUUGUUAGUGGACUCUGCAACUGGUGCUAGCUAUAAUGCUCAUGGUGUUAAUGGAAGGAAUUACGUGCUUCCAGCUUUAUUUGACCCUUCAACUUCAACUUGUUCCACUUUACUUUGAGAAGGGAUCGCAACGCAUUAGUGUGUAUGAGAGUAGAGAGAUUAUUCUUUGAUUUAAUCAUUCUUUCAUUCAAUUAUAAUGAAAUCAAAAUUUCAGCAUAUUUGAAUUAAUGUUGCCUCUUGAAUAUGUUGAUUCUAAACUGACUUGUCUCUUCUUCUAAUUGAAUUUGAUUAAUUGACUAGAGAAAGCAAAAAGGACAGUUUUUUUUUUUUCAAUUCGUAAUCACGAAAUUAAUAUUCAUUUCUUAUUUUUUUAUUGUGCUGUAUCAUCAACAAUUAAUAAACAAAAAUGUUAACAGAGUGAAUAAUUUUUUUGUUGUGUUAUUAAACCUAAUUUAACGAGACACUUGAAAUCUCGCAAUCUGAUUUAAUGUUUGCCCACUUUUAGUUUUUAAUUAAAUUGCAUGAGAGUUAGUCUAAACUAAUUUGAUUAAUUUUGUAGGUUUUAAGACAAUCUUGAUAACUGCUAAAAACAUAAUUUAGCUUCUAACAAAACUCAUAGGUAACAAUUUUUUAAAAUAUUAUUGAAAUAAUAAUAUAUUGGAUCGAUCUAAGCCCCCUAGCGAACCAUGUCAUAGAUUGCAUUGAGUUUCAUAACUCUUUUUAUAAAUUAUAUUUUAAUUAUAUGAUAAACUUAUAUGAUCGUAAAACUGAGUACCAAACUAAAAAUAAAAAUUUAUUUUGAGACAUUAAUAACCCAAGUAGAAAAUAAAAAUAAAUAAAUUAUGUAGUUUAUUUCCAAACAAAUUUAAUAUUGAAAUAAAAAAUAAAAAAAAAACAAUUAAAUGAUGAAAAAAAAUAUUGAACGUCGAUAUAAAAAAAAAUUACAAACAAGCAAUCCAAAAUUAAAAAUAACAAUUAAAAGAAUGAAUGUUAAAAUCAAAAUAAAAAGUAAAUUAAUAAGCAACAACAAAUUUUCACUUUGAGAUUUAAAAUGAAAAAAAGGAAAACAAAAACCAAAAGAAUAAGGAUGAAAAAAAAAUACACUAUCAACUUGGAUUGGAGGUUAAAAUUAAAAUAAAAUAUAAAAUUUUAUAAAAGGAUUAAUGAAAAAAAAUCAUAAGAAUAAGAAUUAAAUUUUAAACACCAAUAUAUUAUAAAACAAUUGAUGUAGAAUUUUCCAACGUGUUUUUUUAAAUUAAAAAAGUUAUAAAUGAACAGGCAUUAAAUUAAAUAAAUCAUGAACUAUUGUGUAAAUAAUUAGGAAAAAAAGUCAUUAACGAUAAAUAACAAUGUAGGUGGAGAAAUUGAGAGACAAAUCAAAAUAAUUAAUAACGCAACAUAUGUUAUUUAACUGAUUAUGUUUAAUAAAUUUAUUUAUUUAGAUCAAUUUAUAAUACAAAUUGACACUCAUAUAAAAUUUAUUUAAUAAAAUUAAAAACAAAAUAUUAUAUAAGGCAGACACAUAUUCAAACAAUUAUGAAAAUAUAUAAUAAAUCUAAAUAAAAUACAUUAAAAAAAAACUACAAAUGAGUCAUACUAACUUCUUAACAAAUUAAACACGUUUAAUAUAAUUAAAAAAAUAAUUAUUAUUUAAAAAAAAGCAAAGUAAGCAAAAAAAAUCAUAGAGAGGGGGUAUUGAUUAAAAUAUUAAUUUAUUUUUUUAAAAAAAUACAUAUAAAGGUAUUAAUUUAAAAAAAAAUUAAAAGGGAAAAAUAUGGACAUACAAUGAACCUGGCUCAAAUAGAAAAGGCCCGUGUGCGGGCUUAUAUUUUUUUAGUUACAAGGGCGGAUGACAUAACGUGUUUUUUUAAAAGAUAAUGUGUUAUGUGUUGCAGUAGAUGACACGUUGUCUAUAAUCCUAGAAUGUAACCAUUGUGGUGACUAGAAAAACAAAGUUCAUGAUUUUUUACAUCCAAAAACCCAUUUCCAACUCGUUUUUGACCUAAAACACAUAGAAAAACAAUAGGAACAUUGUUAAACCAAAUCAUAGAAAAAACACAUAGAAAAAAUGGUUCGCUCAGAGUAAUUUUUAAUAUUUUUAGAAUAGAAAACCUUUGUUCCUCUAUUCGAUACCAUAUCAAAUUAUUGGGUGAAGGCGUAAUUUACAUAGAUUACAACGUAUUAUCUAAGUCUUAAUAAUAUGAUAAUUCAACUACUGUCCUUUAAUAAUAUAAUGAUUCGACUACUAUCCUCUAAACAAGGUAUUCAUAACUUUACAAUCUUUAUUCUUUAUAGCUCAUUCUAAUAAUUACUAGUGCAAAAUCCUUCAAGAGCAAUUUCUUCCACUAUUAAAACAAUUGUUAGACCACCUUGUUAUGAGAUGGUGAUAAACUUAUUGUUUAACUUAGUUAUUUGAGAUUUAUCAAGAUUUGUUUUACGUUUGCUAUUGGAUGUAAUGGAUGUGUUGUUAUUGUUAUUGUUAUUGUGCUUUAAAUAGGCAACCAAUAAAAUUUUACAUGAGCUGAAAUGAAAGUAACGGACUAAAUGUUUAACAACUAUUCAAACCAACUUUUUCACCUACAAUUCUAGCUUACAAGAUGAAGCAUUCUCACUUAAUAUUUCAAUUACCAACAGGAACCAUUAUCUUACAACAAUCACCAAUAAAAUGCAAUACAUUCAGCAAUAAUGUUACAACACAUUAUUUUAACAAUAGAUCAUAAUCUCGUACAUUGAAUCUCCUACUCAAUAGCAACCAUUUAUUUUUCAGAGUAAUGGACAACAACAUAUCAAUAGCAACAUUGACGUCCAGAUCAACAUAUCACAGUAAGAUUUUUAUCUCUUCUAACUGUAAAACACACAACACCAAAAUACAUAGUUUUUAGACCUCGCUCGGGUUCCGAGUUUUGACCGGGUCUCCCAGGUCAAUUUAAUUUUUUUUUUAAAAAAAACACAACAGUCAAUGGGUUGCAACCAGGUUUUUGACUGGAUCUUGCCGGUCAACUGGGUCGCUCGGUCACACCGGGUUUUUCCUUCCCCUUUUUUUUUUAAACCGGACCGAUUCCAGCCCCGCGUCCCAGGAAGACCCGCCGGGCCGGGCCGGUUUCAAAACUAUGCCAAUAUAUAUUCAUGAGAGUUCAAAUAUGAAAAUUAUGUUUAUCAAGCAUUUAAAAUCCAAUGAACAAAUCAUUAUAAUAACCUAUCCAACAAUAUUAGACUUCAAAUAUGAAAUUCAGAUAAUACCAAAAACACACGUGAAUCAUAAUCAACUUCAAUUGGCGAGAAAUAGCAUAGAGAUAACUGUAAGUACAUUAUAUCAUAUUUACCCUUACAUCAAGGUUUAACAUUUGAUCUCCUCUCGAACAUUAAUUUGAGCUAUUGAAAUUUUCUUUCCUUAUCUCCAAUUAUUACCCACAUUUCCCUCUUGCUUCUAGCCAUGAAAAACUAAGUUGCAAAACAAUAAAAUUCAUUGUCGAAAACUACUUCCUCAAUAGAGUAAAACUCCUUCAUAACCUCUUCUAUGCUGCAUCAUUUUUUAUCCUAACCACUAGAUAUGCAUUUCCUCCUAGUAGAGACACCAUCAACCAAACGAUCUAAACGUUAAAAAAGUUAUGUUUCCAUUCAUAAACCUUUUUUUUUAUCACUCUUUUGUGUACAUUGUUGAACAUCUUUUCUUUUUCAACUACUGCUACUACUACUAGGAUUGCUACUACUAUUGGCAAAGUUAACAUAGCAACCAUAUUAUUGACAUCCUCUAUAAAAUUUAGUAAAGUAUCCUCCUCUAAAUCACCACUACCUUCCUCUACAUGUAAAUCCUCAUUAGUAGCAUUUUUUCUCCUUUCACCUACAUCAUCAUCAUCAGAAUUCAAACCCUAUGAUGGAGCCCAAUCAUACUAACUAGUAGCCACAAUAUUUGUAAACAUAAUAUCAUAUUUACAACACAAUGCGGGAUCGAUACCAGAAUGUCUAAACUUUCAAGCUCCUCGUAUCUCCUACAACAAGGGAAAAUUAAGAUAUAAAUGAAUCAUAAUAAUUGUAAGAAUAAAAAAUAAAAUAAUUUAUAGUAAUUGUACACAUGCCGAAACAAAAACAGACCUUGAUUUUAGAUUUUCAUCACUCAUUAGUUGCUGAAAUUGCUCCAAGUUCAGGACUCCAGCCUACUCCGGUUUUGGAAAUCAACUUUUUUCAUAUUCUCCAAUCCUUUUUUAUUCUGUCCCACUUAUUCUUUAAUUGUGCUUUUGUUAAUGCAUGGUCGGUCUGCUCUUUAAAGCAAUUCAUAAUAUAUUUUCAUAUCCAACUUUAUCGAAAUAUGUCUUCGAUCGCAUACUUUUCUUAAUUUCUUUAAUACAAAUGUCAUAAAAUAUGUUCAACAUUUCUCUGGUCCAACAAGCUUUAUCUUGUGAUUGAGAAUCUUCUAUGUUCUCAUUUAAAAAGUUUUUUCUAACAUACAAUUAAUAAGUUAGUUUUCUAGAUGUAAUGUAACAAAAAACAAUGACAACACAGAAUUUUGUUGUGAUAAUAAAUAGCAGCUUUGGUCUAUGAAAGCAACAAUUACUAAGGGCUACUUGACAAGAUAAGGUGUUUGAUACAGUUGAUGAAAUAAGUAAUGUAACAAAUGACGAUGACAACACAGAAGUUUGUUGUGAUAAUAAAUAGCAGUUUUGGUCUGUGAAAGCAACAAUUACUAAUGACUACUUGACAAGAUAAGGUGUUUGAUAUAGUUGAUGAAAUGAAUUUAACAUUAAUAACAAAUAAAAUAUUUUAUAACACUCAAUACAACAAAGAAAUAACGCACAUGGAUUGAACCAAGUUUUUGAAAAAAACAAUUAAAAGAAACCCAUGCAAGUUUAGAAAAGAGAGUUACAGAAGAAGAAAACCAAAUCAUAAAGAAAAAAUUAAGUCUAGUAAUUCAUGAGGAUGUUGAUUGAUCCUAUAUAAAUCAGCAUACCCACUCACUAACCAUAAUAUUACAAACAAAAAAAAUCUACAUCAGAGGUGUCACUAAUAAGUUACAAGAAAUCUGGUAGCAUCAUAAACAUUUUUUGGGAAGUUUUUUUUUUUUUUGCAUAUAGGUUAAUAUAAUAUGUUUAUGGCUUGAGACAUAAGAGUAUUAAACUUCAGUAAAUUACACAAUUACAGACAACAUUGUUAAAAUAUCCUAAUCAUGAACAACAUCUAAUUCUUAUUUUGCAAUGAGGUGAGAUAAAUGAUUGAUGUUGUACUUGAAUUGAAAUGCUUAUGCAUACAAAAUAAUCCAAUUUGUCGGUUUAUAACAUGAAAGAAAAUACAAGUAUUGACAUAUACAAUGACCGUGCAUUAAGAACAUACAUAAGAAAAUGUCUUCAAUUUUUGCCCAGUCACAGCUAAACUUAAAAACAUAUAACUUCAAAAAAAAAAAAGAUAACAAAGAUCAUGAGUCUUUUAGUAUAGGAUGCACCAAAACAGUGAGAAUCGAGAGUUUGUUGUGCUUUUUAAAAAUAAAAGAUGUUAGAUCUAUGGUUCCUGAAUCAAAACAGAACGCGUAAAUUUUGGAAAAAGGAAUAAGUGAGUGAUUUUUGCUGAUAUUGGAAAUUUGAGUUACAUGAAGUGUUUUAAAUAUAUUCUCAAGAAAAUUACCUUGAACAUCAUCAUCAAUUUCAGUGUGUCUUCAACCAUUUCUGGGUUAUGAGGAAGCAUCAUCACCGCGAAAAGAAUAAAAGACGGCAAUAGAUUUGGUGUAUGGUUUAAGUUUAGGACAUGGAUUUGAGUUAGAGAUGGGGUAAUCUUUAAUCUGAAUGAUUUGUUGACAGACAACAGUACAUUCCCUAAUAUUUAACAAUUGGAUCUCCAAUCGGUAAGAAAGUGAGAGUGUGUGAGGUUUGUGAGAUUGAAAUGAGGGGAAAGAACAAUAGAGAGAUAGAAAAGACAUACUAGAGAGAAGAGCAAGAAGAACAAUGAUAGAAGAGACACAUGAAGAGAAAGACAUGGUUAUUUUUUACAAUAGAAAAUUCCAUGGUUUAAUUGUGUCAGUGCAUAUGUGUGUUCAGCAAAAAACAAGUGACGCUUGCUUUUACUUAACAUGUGCUUGCAACAUAGGUUACUGUGGGUCCUAAAAGUUGAAAAGUAUGGGUCAUGGUUAACCAAACAACUUUAAUUUGUGGUUUCAACUUAACAUGGAAGUUACCAUGUAAACAUUUUUUUUUAGAAGGUGUUUGAGAGUGUGGUAGCAGUUACUUUUCAAAGUGUUUUUCACUCUGAAAAAUAUUAAAAUAAUUUAUUUUUUUUAUUUUUUUAAAUUUAUUUUUAAAAUUAACAAAUCAAAAUGAUCCAAAAACAUUAAAAAACUAAUUUGAAAUAAAUAUAAAAAAACAAGUUGAAAUUCAUGGUGAAACACCCCUUUAAGAUUUGGCAGAGAAACCACUUUCCAUUAAAGUUUGAAUGAAGUCAGCAAUGCACCAUUGUUGUAUCGUAGAGACACGGGUGAUGGUUGUUAUAGUGCAUUUAGCUUUCUUGCGGUAGACAUAAAUUAGCUAUGCCUGAGAUUGGAAUGAGAAAGAACAGAGAGAUCAAUUUGCUAAAAUAAGAGAAACCCGAGUAAAAAAUGAAGAUAUUUCAAAUUUUCUCAAAGCAAGAGAGGGAGCUUUUCGAUUUCAAAUGGAUGAGAGAGAGGAAAUGAAAAGAGAGCAUAUGUAGGUGAAUGGGUGCAUGCACUGAGCAAGGGGAUGGUUUGCGGUGUUGCUUUCAUGAGCAACUUAUUAGAGCACUUUAAAGUACUAAGAUAAAAGAAAAGAGUGUGACGUUUGGCCAGAAUAUUCUCUCCCUACCUUCUUUCAUUUCAUCAAUCGAGCAUCUUAUUGUAUGCAGGUUAGGAGACUUGAGUGAUGGUCAUAUUGGUUUCCUAGCUAGCUACCAAAAUGGGAUACAGGUCAAGUACAAUGGUGGACAUAGAUGGACCAUGGCUGCAGCAGCUAAAUGGGAUACAAGUCAAGUACAAUGUAAUAAGCCUUACACUGCACUGUUAUUGUAAAAUGAAUCACACAUUUUCCAUUCAAUCACUUGUAAUCUUUAUACAGUCCUAAGAGCUUAAUUGCAGGAAUUCAAAUGUUUGUAACUGACUAAUAUUGAUUGCAGGAAUUCAAAUGUGUAACUGACUAAUAUUUACAUACAUAAUUAAUAGCAAUAUCUUCAGGAAUAACCGACUGAUUCUGUAGUUAUGAAGAGCAUAAAAUCUGGCAUUUCUUCUGGUGACAGCUAUGCUUGUAUUGGUAAUAAUUUGAAUUCAUCAGUAUCCUUGAUACGCCCCCACAAGAACGGGCUACCAUCAAAUAGACCGAUCUUGUUACGUAAGAAUUAUGUUCGUUGCCUAGAGAGGGGCUUGGUGAGCAGAUCAACUAGUUGAUCAGAGGUGUGGACAUGAUGAACAACAAGGACAUUCUUCGCAACCAAAUCACGGACAAAGUGAAGGUCAAUCUGGAUAUGUUUCAUCCUAGAAUGCUGAACAGGAUUAAAACUCAGUUGUGUUGCACCCAAAUUGUCACAUAACAAGAGUGGUGGUUGAGAAAGAGUGAAUUGCAGCUCUUGAAGCAAGGAUAACAGCCACACGGAUUCAGCUGCAGCCAUUGCCAAAGCUCGAUACUCUACUUCAGUUGAUGAUCGGGCAAUGGCACGCUACUUUUUAGAACUCCAGGAAAUGGGUGUGUUCCCAAGAAAUAAUAGAUAGGCUGACCUUGAUUUUCUAUCGUCCAAAUUGCCAGCCCAGUCUGCAUCAGAAAAACAAGUCAGUGUUGUCUUAGAUUUGUUGCUAAUAGUAUGAAAGAUGGUGUUCUUCAAGUAGCGCAGCAAUCUUUUUAUGGCCGUCCAGUGAGUCUGUGUGGGUUGAUGCAUAAAUUGGGAUAAUUUGUUGACCGCAAAGCUGAUAUCAGGUCUUGUGAGAGACAGGUAUUGCAAGGCUCCAAUGAUUUUACAGUAUUCUAUAGUAUGAGCAGAAGAAGAACCAUCAUUCAGUUGUAGAGGAGCCGAUGUUGAGAGAGGAGUAGUAACAUCUUUGGCACCUUCCAUACUAGUCUUGGCAAGUAAAUCACGGAUGUACUUAUGCUGACUAAGAAAUAACCCGGCUGCAGUAGGGAUAACCUCAACACCAAGAAAAAAAUGCAGUGAUCCCAAGCCCUUGAUAGAAAAUUUUGUUCCAAGAUGAUCGAUAAUACUUGCAACAAAAACUGAAUCACUGCCUGUGAUAAUUAAAUCAUCAACAUAUACCAAACAGUAGGCAAAAGUGGCACCAACAUGAUACACAAACAAAGAGGAAUCAGAUUUAGAAUUAAUAAAACCAAACUCUGUUAAUGCAUUUUUAAGAGCAGAAUACCAAGCACGAGGUGCUUGUUUCAGACCAUAGAUGGCCUUAGUAAGACUGCAAACAUAGUCAGGAUAGUCUGGAUUUCGGAAACCUGGCGAUUGUUGCAUAUACACUCUGUUAGUGAGAUGCCCAUGAAGAAACGCAUUAUUGACAUCUAACUGUUUCAAAGACCAACCCUGCAUCACAGCAAUAGCCAAUACAGUUCGAAUGGUGACCGAUUUAACAACAGGACUAAAGGUCUCCUUAUAAUCCACUCUGGGUCGUUGAUUGAACCCUUUAGCCACUAACCGGGCUUUAAACCGAUCAACUGACCCAUCAGCAUGCCUUUUAACUCUAAACACCCACUUACAAUCAACAGUAUUACAAUCGGGCGGAGGAGGAACCAAUUGCCAGGUAUUGUGACGCAUUAAGGCAGUCAAUUCUGAGGACAUGGCUUCACGCCAUCUAGAGUCAGCUAGUGCCUCAGUAACACUUGAUGGUUCUAAUGAGGAUGGAAGAGGAUGUUUGGUAACAAGAAAGGAUUUUUUGGGUUUAUAGAUGUCAUUCAUUGACCGGAUGACCAUGCGAUGAACUCGAGACUUAGUGUUAACAGGAAUUGGAAGACUAAUUUCAGAGAUACUAGGAGCAUGCAAUUCAAUUGAGGAAUCUGAAUUUAAAGGCAGGGGAGGAGGCGAAGUACUUACCUGGUGAGAAGACGGUGCAGAGGGUGAUCCAUGCUCAGACACUGGUAGGAUAGCAGUACCCACAUCCGGAGACUCGCUGAGACCAGUAAGGGAAAGUUUUGGCAACGAGAUCUGGACAGAUGAGUUGUGUCCAGUAGAUGAAGAAGGAGUGGAACGGCGAUGAUCAUCUUGAUGGAAAGGAAAAGACCCCUCAUGAAAAAUGACGUGGCGCGAGGUGAUCAUUUUUUUAGUAGAAAUAUCAAAACAUAAGUAUGCAUUUUGGGAAAGACUGUAACCCAUGAAUGAACACGAUUUUGAUUUUGGCUCAAGUUUAUGCUGAUUAUAUGGUCGAGUUAACGGGUAACAGAGACAUCCAAAUUGUUUGAGUUUGAGAUAAUUAGGCUUUUGAUUGAAUAAUUUUUCAAACGGAGAUUGAUUAUUCAAGGAAGCAGUAGGCAUUCGAUUAAUGAGAUAGGCAGCAGUUUGAAAUGCAUAAGGCCAAUAAAAAAGCGGCAUGUGGGCAUCAGUGAGUAAAGUUAGACCAGUUUCAACAAGAUGGCGAUGUCGUCGUUCAGACAUACCAUUUUGUUGAGAAGUGUGGGGAGCAGUGGUGUAGUGACCAAUUCCAUGAACAGAGAGAUAAGUUUUUAGUCCAAUGUAUUCCCCACCAUUAUCAGAAUAAAGACUUUUAAUUUUGGUGUUGAAUCGAUUUUCCACAAGAUUACGAAAAUUGUGGGAAAAUGGUCUGAACAUUUGAUUUAUGAGUCAUGGGAUAAAUCCAAAUAUAUUUGGUAUAAUGGUCAACAAAAAUAACAUAAUAUUUUGAGCCAUUAAUCCCAAUAUCGUGAGAUGGUCCCCAAACAUCUGUAUAAAUCAAUUCAAGUGGAGAACUGCUAGUAAAUCCAUGAGUGUGAAAAUCUGACGAUGGGCUUUAUUUUGAGAGCAUGAAGUGCAUAAUGAGGAAUGACCAUUUUUAUUGGUAGGUAAGAAAAAGCAUGAAUAAGAUGAUUAACUAAUUUGGACGAUGGAUGACCAAACCGUUUAUGCCAUCCAUCGGGUGUGGUACGUUCAUGAACAUAGGCAACAAUAUUUUUCUUGGAAAGUGGUAGAUGCUCCGGAAAUGGGUACACUCCAUCUUCACAAGCGCCUUUGAGCAGAAUCGCCCCCGUGAUCCGAUCCUUCACCAAAAAAUAAGUAGGAUGAAAUUCAAUGUAAACAUUGUUAUGCUUGGUGAAAUGAUGAACAUAAAUAAGAUUUUUAUGAAUGGUGGGAACACAAAGAGUGUCAUGUAAAUGAAAAGUAUGAUUGGACGAUUUAAGAGACAAGGACCCAACGUGAGACACAGGCAAACCUGUUCCAUCACCAAUUACCACCUCAUCAGUACCAUCAUAUUCAGAGUUAAUCAUCAGAUUAGACAGAUCCGUAGUCAUAUUGUGAGAUGCUGCGGAAUCAACAAGCCACUUGUGAUUUUUUUGUUGAGAAGAAGCGGCACAAUUUGCAGUGAAAUCAGAAUUUGACAUUUUUGGGCAUUGUUUGGCAGUAUGACCCAUUUGAUCACACCAUUGGCAUUUCGGUUUGAAUCUUCUGUGACCCGAAUGAAAUGAAUUAUUUCGGUGAGACCCACUUUGGUCACGAGGAGGACGAGAAUUAGCUGGGGGACGCCAUUUAGGUUGUCUGAAAUUAGGCGAAAAUUGAGAGGACUGAGGACUCCACCGAUUUGAGUAAUUAGCAGUGGGUACAAACGAGGGAGCAGAUUGAUGAUCAAGACGCCGAAGAUAGCUUUCAUGACUUACAAGAAGAUCAUGUAUUUCUUCAAACUUCAGAGAAGUCUCACGGGCACGAAUAGAAGAUGCAAUUUCUCUGAAUUCAAUACCCAAUCCAUUGAGUAUGUAUAAAGUUAAAUCAUCAUCUGAGAUCGGAUGAUCAAUAACUGCUAGUUCAUCAGCAAUUACUUUGAUGCCGUGCAGGAACUCAGUAACAGUGUGAGACCCACGAGUGCUCAAGGUUAAAUCUUCUUUGAGCUGCAUCACACGAGUUCUGGAUUUGCCCGCAUAUAAACGGGCAAGUGUUGUCCAAGCUUCAUGGGAGGUUUUAUAGGCAGUAAGAAGAGGAGUAAUGGUGGUGGAGGUGGAGGCAAGGAUAGCGUGUAAGAUGAGUUUGUCUUGACGAAUCCAGUGGGAAUUCGCAGCUUUGGAUGCAGUGAAAUUCAGAGCAUCAAUGGCAGGACAUUUGUGUAUACCUGUGACAAAAUCAAUAAGGUCAUAGCCAAUGAGUAAGGCUUCAAAUUGAGCCCUCCACUGUGGAAAGGUGGAGGGGAUUAGUUUUUCAUUGAUUGUUGUGGCUGCAUUGAUUGUGAUGAUGGGUGAGGUUGGUGAUUCGGUGGAUGAUGAAGGGUGGGUGGUCAUGUUGCAGGAAGCAGAUAAAGAGGGUAAGGAGGAUGAAUACUCGUUAGAGUGUUUUCAGCUCUGAUACCAUAAUAAGCCUUACACUGCACUGUUAUUGUAAAAUGAAUCACACAUUUUCCAUUCAAUCACUUGUAAUUUUUAUACAGUCCUAAGAGCUUAAUUGCAGGAAUUCAAAUGUUUGUAACUAACUAAUAUUGAUUGCAGGAAUUCAAAUGUGUAACCGACUAAUAUUUACAUACAUAAUUAAUAACAAUAUCUUUAGGAAUAACCGAUUGAUUCUGCAGUUAUGAAGAGCACAAAAUCUAGCAUUUCUUCUGGUGACAGCUACGCUUGUAUUGGCAAUAAUUUGAAUUCAUCAGUAUCCUUGAUACAAUGGUGGACAUAGACGGACUAUGGCUGCAGCAGCUAAAUGGGAUGCAUGUUUUUUAAAACACUUCUCUAGGCAGGUCUGUAUCUCAAUGUCAAUAUUAUUAGAGUUUCUCUUGGAUCGAUGCGUGCAUUUAAUCACUGUUAUUGUCUUAAGCUAACCACUGAAUGGAGCUACAAAAACUGGGCUUCGAGCCACUUAUGUGCAGUAUUUUAUACACGCGCACAGAGAAAUACUUGAAGUCAAAGGGUCGGGACCGGAAGCCACAAACAUAGCACAUUCGAUGCUGGUUUAUUCGCCGGCAAAGACCAUGGAAUACGAGGCAAAGUCUUCAGAAAUCCCAACGUGACAUAAAUUUAUACAUGCAACUAGUUUUACUGAUAUUUUAAUAAGCUGCCACCAAAACGGAUGGCAAAAGAAAUGGCACUUCUCCUCUCUCAAACGAAGUCCAAAUUCGCCUCAGCAAAUAUAUGGACAGCUACAGCUAUGAACCGCCACCUAAUAGGUGACAAAAGGAAUCCAGGAUGGCUAGAAAAUUAAGCAAGGCCCUUGCUGAUAAUAAACAUUAGCCCCAUCUCUUCUUUAUCUCAAUACCUUUUUUUCAUUUCAAACAUGUAGUUUUAUUUGGAUUUUCAAACAGAUUAAUUAAGAAGAUAUAAACAAUUGCAUCCCAUAUUAUCCAUUUUCAAAUUUCUUCAUUUGAAUAUAAAUAAGAGAGAAAUUGGAUUGAGAUAAUUAAAGGUAUAAUUAAGCAAUUAAUGCUGUGGUUUAUAUAUAUAUAUAUAUGAUGUAUAAUAGUUUUGGAACAUGUCAAAAUAAAACUACGGAUAAUUAAUGCUAUAAAUUUCCAAGAUGUCAGCACGCACUCGUGGAGCUAUAAGAUUUGAAAUUUAAAAUCAGAGAGCAUUAAACAUAGUUAUCUGCUCUGUCAUGUCUGCAAGUAAGAAACAAGGCAGAUGCACUCGUGGACGCAUUGACAAACUCGUUAGCAUCUUUGCAUUUAACAAAUCAAUGCCUCGUGAAUGCUACCUUAAUUUAUAGAAAGCAGCCAAGCUCGUGAAUUUAGGUUCUAGAUGAUGCAUGGCUGUUUGAUCUCCACGGUGUUAAUUAAGUUUAGUGCACUGUAACCCUUUUAUUUAUUUAUUUAUCAAGCCAUUUGCAGUUUAAGAAAUGAGUGAUCUUCAGUGUUAGGUUUGCCAACAUUUUUAAUAUUGUUUAGUUCAGUAAAAAAAAAAAAAAAACCUACCUUCAGCAUUAUUUAUUCUAGUAAACUAUAAACCGAUAAAAAACCUACCUCAUGAAUUAUUUAUUUAGUUUGCUAGCCUAAUUAAUUACUUUUAUGCCAUUUACUUUUCUCAUAAAAUUAUCCAAUUAUAUUUAACUAGUUGUGUGUUUUGUGUUUUGCGCCAAGAUAUUUAUUACCUUUAAUAUUUAAAAGAUAAUUAAGUAAUGUUUUUAUUACUUUUAAUUUUAUCCCAUCCACAUUUUUCAAUUUUCAUAUUCAAGAAAUCUUUAAUUAAGGAUAUUGUUUUUCUAUUUUUUUGUUUUUCAAUCCAAUAAUAUUUGUGAAACAACACACUAAAUACAUACAUUUUUAAUGUUAAAUGUUUUUUUUAUUCAAUGGAAUAAUACUUGUGAAAUAACAAAUUCAUCAAGAUGAAACAACACAUUAUCUUUACGAUGAGCACAAUGAUUCAAGAAAAAUAAAAUAUGAAAGAGUUCUCAUUAAUUUUUUUAUUAUUUUUUUUUUACAAUGAUAUUAUAAAUAAACAUAAGUUAUUACUAUGUGAUACAACAUUAAGAAGAAUUCUAAAGGGGCUCAUAAUUUUACUAUUUAUAGAGACACGGGUCAUUGUUGAUUCACAUAAUGAUUUGAUUAUUAUUUUUAUUCUCUAAAGUUUUUAAUAUUUUUUUAAUUCAGUCCUUCAAAAUUGAAUUUAUUGAAAAUUAAGCUUUGAAAUUUAUUUCAAUCUGAUCCCUGCAAGUUUAUUGUAGAAUCAAAAACAUUAUUGGUAUUGGGUCGAUGCUCAAUUUUACAGAAAAAAAAUAAUGAUUAUAUUGUUUGCAACAAAUUAAAAAUUAAAGGAUCAAAUUUAAAAAAGAAAUAGCAAAUAUUUUUAAAAUUUUUUGUUUUGUUAGCAUUUUUGGGAAGAUAUUUUCCUUGAUCGAAUUUCGUUUUUGGUUCUUUUAGUUUUGCAAUUAAAUAUUUUAGUCUAGAAUUUUAUUUUAUUCAUUUUUCAAUCUAUAUGUUUAAGAUAGAAGAUGAAAAAAAGCCAAUGAAAAACAAUAAAGAAAAAAGAAAAGGAUUAAUUUGUUGGUUUUCGAUGAUAAAAAUAGCCAAAUUCAGUUUCAAAGUGUUUCUCUUGACCAGAGGUGUAAGGUGUUUUUGAGUUUCCAUGUUGUUGGAAAAGGUAGAUAUAGGUUGGAGGAGGUUUUGUUCUCCGACUUGAUUUUGUGUUUAUGCAUUAUUUUUUUUUGGUUUUUUAUAAUGAUAAAUUGGUUUUUUGAGAUUUUAGGGAUUUUUAUUUGAUUGUUUAUUGGUGAGAAUGAGUUAAAAAGUAGAUUUUUAUGUCAAAACAACCCCCUGCUUUUCUAGUCAUGUCUACCGUGGCUGGAUUCUAGGCUCAUUAAGUAUCGUGUGAUUCUUUAUAAACAAAUAUUGGGUGGACAAAAAGAAUAAAAAAUCAAAAGGAUGAAAAAGAAUUAAAAAAAGGUUUAAUUAAAAAGGAUAAAAUACCAAAACAAAUAACAAUUAAAAGAAUAAAAAUUAAAUCCAAUAUAAAAAAAUAAAUGAAAUUGAUUGCCAUGGAACAAUAUUAAAUAAAAAUAUCAAUCAAUGAAAGAAAGAAAUUAUUCAAAAUAUAAUAAAUAAUAAUUAAAAAAAAAUCAAAUUUAAUAUAAAAAUUAAUUGAUAGGACAACUCUUGAUUUUGGCAUGGCAGCACAAUUCUAAAGGAAAGAGAAAUAAAAAAGGGAAAAGAAGAAAAAAAGCUCAUUGAAGCCCAACCAAGAUGCCAACUAACAUGCUACAUUCCAUUGGAAAGAGCGAGUGGUAGCAUUGCCGCUGUGGAAGCUACAUUUCAUUCCCUAUGAGGCACCUCACACGACUCUUAAGACUGAAGAUGCCUUCCACAUGUUAGUACAUGGGUUACACGCACCAUCGAACUUUUCAUAUUUGUUUACCCCAAUCCUCAUACCCGUUCAAGUUUCAAUUUUUAUCCCUCAACACUAAAUUAUUUUAAAUUAGCCUAAUUGUGUAUUAUUUUCCAAAGUCAAGCAUCAACCAAGCAUUGAAAAUUUCCCCGAUAUAUUGCAAGAUCCUAAUAUCAAGACCAACAAAACAAACACACCAAGUGAAGUCCCAAUUAAAAUCAAUACAUGGGAAUCAAAUUGAAAAAUAAAUAUUGAAGUACCGAAGUGUAAAACGGUCUAGAACUUUCCUCUUAGCCGUGCAAAAAAUUCCUUGAGUUUGGCCAGAAAAGGAGUAGAAUAUUUCCUAAAGCUCUAAUUAUUUUAAAUCAAUUAAGUUAAAUUUUAUUUUGCAAAACCAAGAAUCAACCGAUUGAUUGACAUAAUAUUUUCUUAACACUUCAAGAUUCUCAUACCUAUCCAUAAUAAACAAAUCACCAAAACCAAUUACAAAUCAAAGCAAUGUAAGUAAUCAAAUAAGAAGAAAAUGAUCCUAAAAACUUAAUAAAAGAGAUUCAUUGUUUGACUGAACAUUGGAUCUCCAAACAGGCCAUGUACAUUUCUAAGAACUUUUAGGUUUUUUUUAUGAUUAGUGAAAAAUAAUGUUUAAUUAAAUCUAAAAACUCAUAAAAUUAUAUAAUAUAUCAAAAAAUCAUCUGAAUCUAAAAAUUAAGUUAUUAUAUUAGAUUUAGGAUAUGAUUUAUAUUAUUUUCUAAUACAAUAUAAUUCAAAUUUUAUUAUUAUUUAGUAUAAUUUAUUCAAAUAAAGGAUUUUAAUUAAUAUUUUUAUCUCAAAUUUAAAUAUUUGAUUUCUAAUAAUAUUUUCUCUUUAUAUGUAUAUAUAUAUAUAUAUAUAUAUAUAUAUAUAAUGAAAUUUUAGUAGCAAUUAUUGUAUAGCUAUAUCAUUAUUUCAUUUAAGGUUUGAUUAUUUUUCACUGUUUUUCUUUUUCCAAGUCAGACACAGAUUCACUUCCACAAUGAAUUAUCUUGGCGUGACAUCUUAUGUAUUAGCUUGACCCAGCUGGAAUGCUGAUACUUUUUUAUUAUUAUUAUUAUUAACAAAAAUCACAUCCUCUUCCUCCCUUCACCAGCUUUGUUUCACCUACCUUGAAAUGAGCAUUCAUAUCCACGGCCAGAGUGCGUCACCUCACAUGAUCACUCCCCUAGGAUACCUGACGGCCAUUCAUAUCCACAUUCAAACGUUAAAAAGAUAUAUGUAAAUGUUAUUUUUUUUAAAAAAAAGAAUCUAAGUUUUUUUUUAAUUUAAUCUAAUAAAUUUAAUUAAUUUAAUAACAUGAUUAGAGAAAGAUAUUGACAACAAACAAAUAAAAAAUCAACAAUGAUUCAAUGUAAAAAAUAAAUAUCUAUUAAUAUAUAUGAAAAUAUACCCUUACAAUAUUCUUAAAAAAUAUUGCAAUGAUCUUAUCUAUUAAUAAAAUAAACAAUAAAUGAGAAUGAGAUAAUUGCAUAAAAAAAAUAAGAAUCUUAAUUCCACAAAUAACAUGUCGAAUGGGAGAAUGAAAAAAAACAAUUUCAAAAAAUAAAAAGAAAUUGACAAAAGUCUGUCCAAACUAGCAAACCAAACUAUAAUCCAGUCGUGGAAUCACAAUAACCUUGUGAAAAACAAAUUCUAUAAAACUAUUUAAUUUAAUUCUCAAACCAAUCUAAUAUCGAAUGAUAAAAUUAAAAAAUAUAAAAAAACUAUGAAAAAUAUGCUCAGGUCGACCUGUCGAGCCGAGUUUUAAAAUUAUGUCGUUGGCACUCAACCGUUGCUCAUUUGUGGCACGUGCCUGCCAACUCGAAUGUUGUGGGCGACAAUGAUUUGCUGCACACACCAACUGAAUUUUUAUUUUAAUUAAGUUUUUUUAUUUUUUUAAAAAAGAUUAUUUUCAUUUAAGUAUUUAGUUAUCAUUAACAAGUUUUCAUAUUUGUUGAUUCAUAUAUAUAUAUAAUAUUUUUAAUUAUUUAUUAAGUGUAAAUAAUAUUUUUUAUGUUUACAAAUUUUUUAAAAAAAAAACCAUGAUGUAUUUUUUAUUACAUUAAAAAUUAGCCUGAAAUCAUUCUUGUCAUGUAAAUAACAUCUCUACACAAACAAUAAGUUUGUGUUCUUAAAUUAAAAUAAAAUAAUAAUAUUUAAAAUGCAUUAAAAAAUUAACAUAUAUUUUUUAUCAUGUUUGAAACUAACUUGGGGUUAUAAAACUAAUUAACAUGAGAAUAGAAGAGCUUUCAACACGGUGAGAAAUUUAAAAUUAAAAAUUACAAAGACACGAGGUGGUUUUUUUGCCAUCCCCAAAGUCCCUGACCACGUGGCACUAACUUUUUGUCACUUUUCUCUCUCUGAGCCGCGUGGUCCCUGGUCCUCUUAGCUGGCCAAGCACAGUAAUGUUAACAAUAGAUGCAGUUGAAAACGAGAGUAGCGCGCGCGCAUUAGGUUAGCAAUGAAACAACGCGCUAUUUACCUGUCAUGUCACCACUUGCCACUUUCAAUUCUCAACCCACUCUCCGCGUAGCUUCCCUCCCCAGGAUUUCAACUCUUCCCUGAGACUAUAUAUACCCAAUCUCCUCCUCCGUUUCUCUCCACUCACAAAAUCCUCUCUUCCAUCACUACCGAUCAUCAGAUCAAUCAUGGCCUCCUUUCUUUCUUCACAUUCUCUUCUUCAACUUGCUCUGUUAAUCUCUAUUAUACAAUUCAGUUCAGCAGCAAGGACCCUCUCCGAGUCAGAUCAAAGCCAGGAUCCCUUGUUGUUUCAAUACCACAAUGGCCCUCUUCUUACCGGUGAAGUUUCUAUCAACUUGAUCUGGUAUGGCAACUUUAAGCCAUCUCAGCGAGCCAUUGUCUCAGAUUUUAUUGCCUCUGUCUCUUCUAGAAGACCCACAACAGCCCAACCCUCAGUGGCCACGUGGUGGAAAGCCACUGAGAAAUAUUACAACCUUGUCAAGACGAAGAAAACCUCUCCUCUUCUCCUCUCCGUAGGAGCACAGAUUUUAGACGAGAGCUAUUCGUUGGGGAAAUCGCUCUCCAGCAAGCAAAUCGUGCAGCUAGCAACGAAGGGUGGUCAAAAGGGUGCAAUCAACGUUGUUUUGACAUCAUCCGAUGUUGCUGUUGAAGGGUUUUGCUCUAGUAAAUGUGGUACUCAUGGGUCCUCCUUGAGCGCUAAAACAAUCAGCGGUAAGAGAUCUAAAUUUGCUUACAUUUGGGUCGGUAACUCUGAGACUCAAUGCCCCGGCCAGUGUGCGUGGCCAUUCCACCAGCCAAUCUAUGGACCACAGAACCCUCCAUUGGUUGCACCCAACAAUGAUGUGGGUCUUGAUGGUAUGGUGAUCAAUCUGGCUAGUCUUUUGGCUGGGACUGCAACAAACCCAUUUGGAAAUGGCUACUUCCAGGGUCCGAAGGAGGCUCCUCUUGAGGCCGCGUCUGCUUGUCCUGGGGUCUAUGGUAAGGGUGCGUAUCCUGGUUAUGCUGGGGAUUUGUUAGUGGACUCUGCAACUGGUGCUAGCUAUAAUGCUCAUGGUGUUAAUGGAAGGAAAUACGUGCUUCCAGCUUUGUUUGACCCUUCAACUUCAACUUGUUCCACUUUAAUUUGAGAAGGGAUCGCAUUAGUGUGUAUGAGAGUACCGUAAAGCUGUAGGAGAGAUUAUUCUUUGAUUUAAUCAUUCUUUCAUUCAAUUAUAAUGAAAUCAACUUUUCAGCAUAUUUGAAUUAAUGUUGCCUCUUGACUAUGAUGAUUCAAUUCAGAUUCGUAAUCAUGAAAUUAAUAUUCAUUUUUACUUGUUUCUUGUUCUGUAUCAUCAACAAUUGUAUCAUUUCUUAUUGUUUAUGUCUUCCACUGUAAAUGAUGACAUUAAUGCACUAUCUAUAAACAACUUUCAAUAUUGUUUAUUAAACUUUAUAAUUAUGUCAUUGAAGUGUGAAAUGAUGUCAUUUCAUCCAAAAUUAUAAUUGAUUUUCCUCUUUUUUUUUUUAAGUAUGAUUUUAGUUUAGUCUCUAGAAUCCAAGGUUCGCUUGGAAUGGGUCCAUGAAUUUUUUUUAUAUUGCAACUCGACUCCUAGAUAUAUAUUAGUCUAUUAGCUCGUGUUUUGUUAGGGGUUGGAUUAAUUUUUUAAAAUGUUAAAAGUGCAAUGAAUUUUUUAUUGUGUUGGUAAGCUUGGUUUAAUGGUACAAUCAAUGUUGUUAAAAUCACGAUUUUAAUACAACACGGAAAGCCGUUCACAAACUCGGAUCAUAAAAACGGAUCAUAAAAUCGUAAGGAAUUUUAAAAUACAUUAAAAAAUAAUUCAUACUUCAAAUAAAAAAUUCAUAUAUAAUUCAAGCACUUUAAAAAACAUAUAUAGUUCAAGUAUCUUAAAAUACAUGAUUCAAAUAAAAUUUGAGAGUCAAUUGCUCAGAAAUUGAAGAAUUAAUAACUUUGAGAAUUUAAUUAAAAUUUGGAUUAGUUCAAUUAAUAAAAUCAUGAGUUUAAUUAAAAAAUUGAUUAGUUUGAGAACUUAAUUAAACUUUGAUUUAAUUAAUUAAAGAAAUUGAAGAAUUAAUAACUUUGAGAAUUUAAUUAAAAUUUGGAUUAGUUUAAUUAAUGAAAUCAUAAGCUUAAUUAAGGAAUUGAUAAGUUUGAGAAUUUAAUUAAACUUUAAUUUAAUUAAUUAAAGGAAUUGAGGGUUCAAUUGAAGAAACACCAAGGAGGAAGAGGAAGAGCAAGAACAAGAACAAGGAGAAAAACCCAGCAUAAAAGAGCGGUUGUGAAGCCGAAGAGCAUUAAAGAGGCAUCAACUACAAUUGAUCAGGAUUUUCCUUCUAACUCCUCCACGAGCUGCGAUGACUGUUCAAGGAUCGAUGGCUUGGAUUUCGAGGGUGUUGAUAUCUCCACGAGUGCAUGCUCUACUCCAAAAGCUGAGAGAUUUCGGAUACCAGAGAUUCAUACAUGCCCACCAGCGCCGAGAAAGCAAAGGAUGAUAUCGAUUUGCUCUUUGCAGAGGAGACCAAUUGCUUUCUUUGCUCCUCCAGAUUUAGAGCUCUUCUUCUUCUAUGCACUUCAAGUCUGAAAUGUUUGUUCAUGUCGUAUGAUCAAGAUCAUUUGAAUAAUUUCAAGAGGCGAUCCCUAGUGUUUAUUACUUCCAUCUAGUCACAGAUCAUAGCCUGUUCUUUUCAAUUCCAUUGUUGAAGUACGUACAAUGUGAUAGCUUGUCAAUUAGCUUUACCUUCUCCAUCUUGUUUGCUUGCUAAUUUUAUAGCCUGGGUUUUCUACCAGUUAGGAAGGGGAAUGCAAGCAAAACCCAUAGAAAAAACCUAAAAAACAGGGGAACGAGCAGGGGACUGUGCAAGAAUUGUUAGUACUUUCGCGGUUUCGCCUGAAAACUGAAGUGAAGAGUGAAGACAGUGCAAGAAAAAUCAGUACAAGAAAAAAGUGAAGACAGUCUGUGACUGUGCAAGAAAAAUCCAAUAGGCUUCUGACAGCUAGAUAUGAGGGGGGAAUUUUGUUUUAGCGCUUAAUUUUGUCAAAAUCGCAAAAUCGGUCUUGAAAUCGCGAUUUUGCGCAAUUUCAUCCGAUUUUUGCGAUUUCACCUGAUUUCAAUCCGAUUUUAUCCAUUUUCAAUUUUUUCAAGCGAUUCAACCCGUAAUGCAUGUUUUGACUCAUUAGUUUCCAACUAAAUUGCACAAGAGUUAGUCCGAAUUAACCUUACAAACUCGUGUUUUAGAUCAUGAUAAUGAGAUAAUUCAAUAGAAAAAAACUGAAAAAAAAACUACAAAGCCUUUUUUUAAAAAUAAAAAAACAAUAUUGAAUGGUGAUAUAAAAAAAAAGACAAAAAAAGAUGUCAACCCUUGAACCAGGUCAUUAGACUUGAAACACCUUACAUGACAUGAUCAUAAAGUCCAAUCCAUAGAAAAUGAAAUAAAAAAAUUACAAACAAGAAAUCUAAAAUUAAAAAUAUCAAUGAAAAAAAUGAAGGUUAUAAUCAAAAUAAAAAAUAAAUUAAAAAGCAACAAUAAAUUUUCACUUUGAGAUUUAAAAUGAAAAAAAAAAACCAAAAGAUUGAGGAUAGAAAAAAAUAUACACUAUCAACCUGGAUUGGAGGUUGACAUUAAAAAAAAAAAUAAACAUUUAUAAAAGGGUUAAUGAAAAAGAAUCAUAAAAAUAAGGAUUAAAUCGAAAAUCAAUAUAUGAUAAAAAAAAAUUAAACAAGUAGAAUUUUUCAACAUGUUUUUUUACAUUAAAAAAGUCAUAAAUGUAAAUCAUAAAACUUAUACACGCAUUAACUUAUACACGCAUUAAAUUAAAAACAUCAAUACAUGUUUUUUUUUCAAUGUAAAAAAAUAUGUAAUCUUAACCUCUCUUAUUAUAUGGAACCUUUUGACAAAAAAUUGUAUGUUUUGAUGGUUUAAAUUUUCUUAAAUAACAACUUUCUCUCUCUAACUUGUUAAUUUAUUGAAUAAUUUCGAGUCUUGAGUAAUUUUUCAAAUGGGUUCUGAAAACUGAAUGCAAUGAAUUAAUUUAAGACUAAGAGUCUUGCUUUUUCUCUAAGCUUAUCAAUUUGUUUUCCAAAUCUAGUUUUCAUUUAUUAUUAAAAUAUAUUUGAAGAAUGGACAGAGUGAAAUUUGAUGGCCAUGGGAUCAAAUUUCUCAAAAGAAAAUAUGGAGGUGAGGAUUACAAUUACAUAAUAUAUAAAGCAAUGUCUCGAUCUCUGAAGUGAGCAGAGAGUUUUGAGAUAUAGCAUGCUUAGCCCUGUAUCAAACAUGGAUCAGAUAAAUUUUGAAUUUUUUUUAUUUAAAAUUAAUUUUUUUAAUGAUUUCUUUAUUGUUUUAAUGUGUUUAUAUUAAAAAUAAUUUUUAAAAAAUAAAAAAUAUAUUAUUUUAAUAUAAUUAAAAAAACUAUUUUAAAAAGUAAUUUUUAUUAUAUUUUUAAGUACCCUCAUAAAUUACGUCGUUCCUAAAAUUAUAGUUGUGUUGUUCUCAAAAGCAUAAUCUAAAUUUGUUUUUCUUCAGAUCAUUAAUAAUUAUUUUCUCAGGUAUAAUUUUUAUUCUUUGCAUUAAAUUAAUUUUUUGAAAUAAAUAAAUAAUAUAUUUACCACUAUCAACUCGCGAGGAAAUGAUUUUCAAUGAGAAUUGGGUUCAUAUUUUCGGUGUUGUAUUAUUAAUUAUUAAGAUCGAGCGUUGCUAUUUUUCUAUAACCUUUUCUAUUUUUCAUCUUAUUGCGCUAUUUUAAAAAAUGACCGUUAAAUUGUUACUUGGAUUUUGCCUAACACUAACUUCUUCAAAGCUUUUAGACCUUCGACUAGCCGCGGUGCCAUCAUAAUAUUCCAGUAAAGUAGCUACAAUAUUUUCCAAAUAUUAAUUAACUCUUCUUUAUUUUAGCGUGCCUUAAUUAAAAUGGUAUUGAAUAAAAAAUAGUAAAUAAAAGACAAUUAAAUAGUUAAUUUAUUGAAUAAAAAAUUUAAUUUUUAUAAAUUAUUUAUCGAUUUUGGAUAUUCAUCAUCUAACUAUUAUUUAUUAUUUAAUAAAAAAUAAAUAGUUAUAUAUAAUAUAUAUGUAUAUAUAAAUGAUAAAAUUAUAAUAGUAUAGUGUUUUAUAUCAAUAUUGCAAUAUGUAUAUAUCAUGUUGUAUUAUAAAGAUUUAAAUUUUUUAUAAAUAUAUCUAUAUAAUAUAAUAUAUUUCUACUUGGACUCAGGCAAGUUUCAUAUUGGAUUUGAUAAUAUUCAUAUUUUAUCCAUUAUAUAUUAGAUAAGGUAAUUAUCAAAUAAUAUCCACUAAUUCAGGUCAAAUCAAUCAGGUCAAUAUUUAUCGAUUUUGAACUAAAUUGUUGUCUAUACUAAUAAAUUGAUCCAUUAAGUUAUGAGGGAUUCAGAAUGGAAUCAUGGUAUAUCCACCGACCAGUUUCACCGAAUAGGCUAACUAGCUAUUUGACCAACGCUUUACUGUGAAUUAGAUAAAAAAAAAAAAUAGAAACAAAUAAGCUUACUUUUUCAGCGUUUUUUUUUCUAUAAAAAUCCUAAUCAUAAAUAAAUUAAAAAGCCUAUACAUACAUUCAAUUAAAUAAAUCAAGAAUCAUUUGUGCUAAUAAAUGCAAAAAAAGAAGAAGAAGGUGUUAACGCAUCUAUAAGAUUAAAUAUCAUCUUUGGGCCCAUUAAGUUGUGAUGAAUUUAGAAUAGAAUCAUGACAUAUGCACCGAUUAGUUUUACCAAAUAGGCUAAAUUAGCUAUUUGACUCGCAGUUCAACAUGGAUUGGAUAAUUUGCUCUGGCAAAAAAAAAAAUAUAUGCAGCCUUUUCAACAUUUCUUUUGACUAAAAAAUUCCUAAUCAUUAAAAAAAACAUAUACAAUAAUUUUAUUAAAUAAAUCGAGAAUUAUCUAUGUCAUCAAUAAAUGUGAAACAAAACGUUUUAAAACAUCUAUUCAAUUCACCUCAUUGUGGGCCAGAUAAAAAAAAAAUUAUAAUGCAAAAGAAUGAAUGAGUAUGUGUUGUUAACAUGUUUUGUGACAUCGAGUAAAAAAUAUAACUAUAAAUUGAAAAUCCAAUGCUUAUAUUUAAUAAAAUAAAACAAGGAUCAUGUGCAUUAAUAAAAACAUUUAUGAUCUCAAGUUAAUUUUUAAUAUAAUAGAAAAAUAAAACAUUAUUGUGAGUGUGUUUCACUAUAUCAUGAUUGAUACAAUCCAAACUAUACCAAAUAAUCUAUUAGAAGUUCAAAUCGGUCCAAUUACAAGAUCAAGGGUAAAAAAACUUAAAGAUGCAUUCAAUGAGUUUAUUUAGAGUAAUUGAUCCAAAAUGAAUUUCAAGAAAGUUACAACUUCAACAAGUGAUAAUCAGAUCUUAGUCAAUUUAAUAUAUGUGUAAGAGGAGUUCGAUCCAUCUACAACAUAGGCCUAAUUAUUUCACAAUAAUGGGCUAAUUAAUUUUGGCAUUAGAGGUGGUUUGGGGUUUGUUUUCCUAAUACAGUUUUACUCUAACAAUUAUCAUUUUUAAAUCAUAAUUGUUAACAAUGCAUCGGGUUGAAAUUUUACCUGAAGUUUUUGAAAGUUAUGUUCUAUUUUUACUUAAAAUUGUAAAGCAAUAGGAGACUAGAAAGGCUUUGCGAUAAUGUCCAGAAGCUACUAUGCGAAAAUUGUAUUAGUUUUCUAAUUGAUUUAAGACUUUUUUUUCUAUUUUAUUUAGAACUCUUUUAUUAUUUAUCCAAUAUUAUUUAUAAAGUUUCGACAAAUUACAAAGAGAGUUAUUUAACUUAUAUUUAGGGUUUUUUUUUUGGACAAACUUUAAUUUUGUAAUUAUUAUUGUGUGUGUGAGGUUUUGCUCAUACCUUUUGAUUUUUCAUUGAACUACUAUGACUUAUCAAAGAAUUAAUCAAGCUUUAUGAUGUUUUUCAUACUUCUCGUUCGUGUUUUUUUAUAGGCAAUGAAUGAGGGUUCGAUUACUUAUAGUUUUGGUGUCUCGGCACAAGUUAUCGUUAUGUCAAGCUCAAUUUGUUUUAAUCUUAAUGGUCAUUGUUUAUAACCAAGAAUAAAUAAUUUUUAUUUAUAUAAAAUAUAAAAUAAAAUAUAUAGAUGAAUUAUAAUAAUAUCUAAGAAACAUUAAACACAUAUAAAAUAAUUACAAAAUUAUCACUAUUUAAAAAAAGUUAAAUAAAUAAUCUAAAAAGAUUUAGAGAGAAUAGAUAUUGAUUUAAAUAUAAAUUAAAAAAAUAUUUUAAUAAAAUACAUAUUAAAAAAAUAUCAAUUAAAAAAAUAAAAAUUAAAAAACAAAAUCAAGUUGGUUGGUGUUGGGCGUGGCAAGCUAGGUUUGUGUGCCUUGCUCAUUUUGAAAAAAAGCAUGAAUAACACUGACAUACACUCUUUUUUUAUUAUUUUUUUAAUGGAUGAAUAGCAUAAAACAUCAAUUUCUUCACCGAUAACAUAAUAUUUUCUCCAUGAAAAAUUUUCAAGGACAAUAAACAAUUUCAGGAAGACAGUCCCAGAUACAGCCAGUCAAAGAUCAUAUAAAAGCUCAUAUAAAAGCCACACAAAACCAGGCUAGCCAUUGAAGUUAGAUGCACCUUAGAUUUAAGACUAGAUUCUGGGUUUUAACUGGGUUAUUUUUUUUUUUAAAUUAAAACAAAGUUGUUUUAGUAAACUAUAUAUAUAAAAGUCAACAGGUUUACGGUCGGGUCUUGACCGGGUCAACCUGCUGGAUCAGCCGGAUCAUACCGGGUUUUUAUUCAUUCGUUGUUUUAAACACAACCUGAUUUCAAUCUCGGAUUGGCCGGGUUCCAGAUCAACUUGCCGUGCCGAACCGGGUUUCGAAACUAUGAGAUACACACUCCCUAAUUACAGAUUUAAACAUAUCAAGAGAGUUAUUUUUUAGGCGAUUAGAACAACCACUAGUCAAACCUAUUAACCCAGCAAUGGAAAACCUAAUUUUCUUGUGAGGUUUUUUCGCGAGCGGAGCUGUCUACAAAAAGCUAUCUCAUUCACUUUCGGUCCUCUUAGCUGGCCAAGCACUGUAAUGUUAAAUUGUUAACAAUAGAAGCAGUUGAAAACGAGAGUAGCCGCGCGCGCAUUAGGUUGGCAAUGAAACAACGCGCUAUUUAUCUGUCAUGUCACCACUGGCCACUUUAACCCACUCUCCGCGUAGCUUCCCUCCCCAGGAUUUCAACUCUUCCCUGAGACUAUAUAUACCCAAUCUCCUCCUCCGUUUCUCUCCACUCACAAAAUCCUCUCUUCCAUCACUACCGAUCCUCAGAUCAAUCAUGGCCUCCUUUCUUUCUUCACAUUCUCUUCUUCAACUUGCUCUGUUAAUCUCUAUUAUACAAUUCAGCUCAGCUGCAAGGACCUUCUCCGUGUCAGAUCAAAGCCAGGAUCCCUUGUUCUUUCAAUACCACAAUGGCCCUCUUCUCACCGGUGAAGUUUCUAUCAACUUGAUCUGGUAUGGCAACUUUAAGCCAUCGCAGCGAGCCAUUGUCUCAGAUUUUAUUGCCUCUGUCUCUUCUAGAAGACCCACAACAGCCCAACCCUCUGUGGCCACGUGGUGGAAAGCCACUGAGAAAUAUUACAACCUUGUCAAGACGAAGAAAACCUCUCCUCUUCUCCUCUCCGUAGGAGCACAGAUUUUAGACGAGAGCUAUUCGUUGGGGAAAUCGCUCUCCAGCAAGCAAAUCGUGCAGCUAGCAACGAAGGGUGGUCAAAAGGGUGCAAUCAACGUUGUUUUGACAUCAUCCGAUGUUGCUGUUGAAGGGUUUUGCUCUAGUAAAUGUGGUACUCAUGGGUCCUCCUUGAGCGCUAAAACAAUCAGCGGUAAGAGAUCUAAAUUUGCUUACAUUUGGGUCGGUAACUCUGAGACUCAAUGCCCCGGCCAGUGUGCGUGGCCAUUCCACCAGCCAAUCUAUGGACCACAGAACCCUCCAUUGGUUGCACCCAACAAUGAUGUGGGUCUUGAUGGUAUGGUGAUCAAUCUGGCUAGUCUUUUGGCUGGGACUGCAACAAACCCAUUUGGAAAUGGCUAUUUCCAGGGUCCGAAGGAGGCUCCUCUCGAGGCCGCGUCUGCCUGUCCUGGGGUCUAUGGUAAGGGUGCGUAUCCUGGUUAUGCUGGGGAUUUGUUAGUGGACUCUGCAACUGGUGCUAGCUAUAACGCUCAUGGAGUUAAUGGAAGGAAGUACGUGCUUCCAGCUUUAUUUGACCCUUCAACUUCAACUUGUUCCACUUUACUUUGAGAAGGGAUCGGAUCGCAUCAGUGUGUAUGAGAGUACCGUAGAGCUGUAGGAGAGAUUAUUCUUUGAUUUAAUCAUUCUUUCAUUCAAUUAUAAUGAAAUCAACUUUUCAGCAUAUUUGAAUUAAUGUUGUCUCUUCUUCUAAUUGAAUUUGAUUAAGUGACUAGAGAAAGCAAAAAGGACAGUUUUUUUUUUUUUCAAUUCAGAUUCGUAAUCACGAAAUUAAUAUUCAUUUCUUAUUUUUUAUUGUGCUGUAUCAUCAACAAUUAAUAAACAAAAAUGUUAAAAGAGUGAAUAAUUUUUUUGUUGUGUUAUUGAACCUAAUUUAAUGAGACACUUGAAAUCUCGCAACUUGAUUUACCGUUUGCCCACCUCUAGUUUCCGACUAAAUUGUAUAAGAGUUAGUCUAAACUGAAUUGAUUAAUUUUAUGGGUUUUACUACAAUCUUGAUGACCGGUAAAAAUAUAAUUUAGCUUCUAACAAAACUCAAAGGUAGCAAUUUUUUUAAAAUAUUAUUGAGAUAAUAAUAUAUUGGAUCGAUCUCAGCUCCCUAGCGAACCAUGUCAUGGACUUCAUUGAGUUUCAUAACUUUUUUUAUGAGUUAUAUUUUAAUUAUAUGAUAAACAUAUAUGAUAACUGAGCACCAACCUAAAAAUAAAAACUUAUUUUGAGAUAUUAAUAACCCAAGUAGAAAAUAAAAAUAAAUAAAUUAUGUAGUUUAUUUCGAAACAAAUUUAAUAUUGAAAUAUAAAAUUAAAAACAAACAAUUAAAGGAUGAAAAAAAAAAGCAUAUUGAAUGAUGAUAUAAAAAAAAAUAUCAAACCUUGAGUUAAUGAAAUCAAAAUUUCAGCAUAUUUGAAUUAAUGUUGCCUCUUGACUAUGAUGAUUCAAUUCAGAUUCGUAAUCAUGAAUUUAAUAUUCAUUUCUUCUUGUUUAUUGUUCUGUAUCAUCAACAAUUGUAUCAUUUCUUAUUGUUUAUGUCUUCCACUGUAAAUGAUGACAUUAAUGCACUUUCUAUAAACAACUUUCAAUAUUGUUUAUUAAACCUUAUAAUUAUGGUAUUGAAGUGUGAAAUGAUGUCAUUUCAACCAAAAUUGUAAGUGUUGUUCUUUUUUUUUUAAAAAAAAAAAUUUAUGUUUUUAGUUUAGUCUCUAGAAUCCGAGGUUCGCUUGGAAUGCAUCCAUGAAAUUUUUUUAUAUUGCAACUAGACUUCUAGAUAUAUAUUAGUUUAUUAGUUCAUGUCUCUCGUUACGAGCUGGAUUAAUUUUUUAAAAUGUUAAAAAUAUGAAUAAUUUUUUGAUUAAGAUAGUUAGCCUGGUUUAAUGGGACAAUCUUGAAACCUCAGAACCUGUUUGUCCACCUCUAGUUUCCAACUAAAUUAAACAAGAGGUAGUCCAAAUUAACCUUACAAACUUGUGUUUUAGGUCAUGAUAAUGGGAUAAUUCGAUAAUUUUUUUUUUAAAAAAAAAUACAAAGCCUUUUUUUUUUAAAAAAAAAAAACAGUAUUGAAUGGCAAUAUAAAAAAAGAGACAAAAAAAGAUGCCAACCAAAAGAUCGAGGAUGAAAAAAAUAAAAAAUAAAAACAAUAUUAAACCAGGUCAUUAGACUUGAAACACCUUACAUGACAUGAUCAUAAAGUCCAAUCCCUAGAAAAUGAAAUAAAAAAAAUUACAAACAAGAAAUCUAAAAUUAAAAAUAUCAAUGAAAAGAGUGAAGGUUAUAAUCAAAAUAAAAAAUAAAUAUAAGAGCAAUAACAAAUUUUCAUUUUGAGAUUUAAAAUGAAAAAAAAAGAAAAACAAAAAUCAAAAAUCAAAAGAUUAAGGAUGCAAAUAUAUACUAUCAACCUGGAUUGGAGGUUGACAUUAAAAAAAAUAAACUUUUAUAAAAAGGUUAAUGAAAAAGAAUUAUAAAAAUAAGGAUUAAAUCAAAAAUAUCAAUACAUGAUAAAAAAAAAAUUAAACAAGUAAAAAACAUGAUUAUCGUCUUUUUAUACAUCUUUUAUUUUCAAACUUUUAUUACAAACCCAUUGUUUUAGGCCUUUUUCUACCAAAUCUUUUGAUGCUACAAAAGAACAAAUCAACUAUCAGUGAGUAAGAAGACAAUAAAAAAAAAACCCUAUGAAAUUCAAAGGCAAUUUUCGUGAUUGUCGUCUCUUGACCAUAGGAAACAAGAACAUAUGGCCAACUAAAAAGCGCCAAAACUAAUCUUUAGCCUUUCAAAAAGUCUUUUGGCCUCUUCCAUAAUAGCUCCACUAUAAAGAAGACCUCUUGAGCUUUAAAAAGCAGAGUAAGAUACACUGAAGACUAACCUUACUAAAUUUUAAAACCAAAUAAAAUAUUAAAUAUACAUGUGAAAUGAGGUUUUUUUAGAAAAUAAUAAAUGUAUAGUUACUAGUGAUUUAUACGGUAUGACAUGUUUCAUAAAAUAUAUUUAUUCUCAUUAAAUAUUAACAAAAUUAUAAAAUUAAAUAAACUAAGAUGUUUACCAAUAUGCAUCCCUUUACUCUAAACAAAAAAAGUGAGAUUUAAAAUGGUUAAUUUCAAAUUUUUCAUAAUACCCAUUAAAGGUAUACAAUAAAGUAGACAGAGAGAGAGAGAGUAGAAUUAUUGUUUUUUGUAUGAAAGUAUUUUAUAAAAACAGCUAAUGUAAUACAACUUUGAGCUUUGAGUUUUUACCUAUUAUAAAUAGAGUUAUUUAGCUUAUAUUUAAGGUUUUUUAGGGGACAAAAUUUAAUUUCAGUAAUUAUUAUUGUAUGUGUGAGGUUUUGCUUAUAUCUUUUUGUUUUUCAUUAAACUGCUAUAACUUAGAAAGAUUUAAUCAAGCUUUAUAAUGUCUUCUAAAAUUCUCGUUCGCGUCUCUUUAUAAGCGAUGAGUGAGGUUCGAUUACUUAUAGUUUUGGUGUCUCAGCACAGGUUAUCAUUCUAUCAAGCUCAAUUCCAAACAUGAUCUUAACUUUCUUGAGAAUGUUCAAUUUAAAUUUUGGUUUCCAUAGCUUUAUCACUACCAGAAAUUCAAUUGAAACUAAUGGACUUACCGACGAUAUUUUUCAGUCGGUAAUUUAUGGUGAUAUUUACCAACAAAUGGAAGUCCCUUAGUAAUUCUGUCGUUAUAUAUCAAUGAAAUUAGUUUGUCGAUAUACACUGACAGAAUUACCGAGGGACUGUUUAGAAUUUUGAAAAAAAAAAAAAGCAGGUCGAUGACGUGGAAGUUUUUGUGGAUGUUUUUACCGACAGAAUUAGCAAGGGAUUCAAACCGGGAUCUCUAUACAGUGACGUGACCCCUUCACCGUCAGAAUUGCCGAUGGAAUCACUGGUGGAAUAUUUUUAUUGGUGAUUCCCUUAAUAAAAGUGAAUAUAUCACCAUGCUAUCGACCCUCCUCUCCACUUCUUUAUUUCUCCUUCUUUUUCCCCUAGCCCUGCAUGUAAAGAAACUACCCCACCCCCAACUGCAAAAACCUACCUCCUAAACUAUCCCCCUCUUUUAAACACAAGGCAUCCUUCUUUAACUUUUGUAGCUACCGCAAUAUCAGUGUUCUGAUUUAUUGUGGAUUUUGUCAGUUUUUUGUAAAUAAAUCUAUUUUUUUUUAAUUUUAACAUUGAAAUAUGAAUUUUAUUAUUAAUAAUAUUUUUUUAGCAUAUGUAUUUUGUUAGUGUAUGUACAUAUUUUAUUGGUUUUUCUCAAACAAACUUGUAGUAUGAAUAUAUAAUUUUGUACUUGUUAUGGUUUGAUUUAGAUUUUGUAAAAUUGUAUUUGUUUGUAAAUUGUUGAAACUUAUGUUGAAUUACCGAAUUAGGUGUGUUAUGAUAAAAUAAAUAAUAGAUUGUUUAACGUGUUCAUUUUAAUUUUUAUCAAUGCUAUUGCGGAGUUGUAAUUUCCAUAAAUUUAUUUGUAUAGACAUUGAUAAUUGGUAAUGAAUAUUUAAAAUAAGUUUUAAUUAGUUUGUUGGAUAAUCUCGAGUUAAACCAAUAUUUUUGAAAAUUUAUUUACUUAACAUAGUUAAUUAAUACAUGUUGUCAUCAUUAUUCUAUAGAGGUUCGAUAGAAGUCAUGGAUAAUUAUUCAUGGAUGUAUCGAGAUUCACCACAAGAAUUGCGGAGGAUGGAUUAUUAUAAUGGGGUUUAGGGUUUUAGUAAUUUUGCAACAUCUAUUCCGAGAAAUUUUAGUGGGGGCGUUAUUAAGUGUCCAUGCAGGAAGCGUAAAAAUAAAAAGCAUAUGCUUCUAGAUAUUGUAAUGAUGUAUCUCUUAUACAGAGGGUUCAUGGAGGAUUACCUGUAUUGGUAUGCACAUGGAGAGCUAUUUGUUUGUAAUGAGAGCAUGGUAGAAAGAAUGAUUGGGUCAACUUAUAGUGCUAGCAACAAGCAUGGAGUUGUAAAUGACAACAAUAAUCAUUACAGGAAUAUGGUUACGGAUACAAUGAGAAUGAAUCAAGGUAAUGCUAGUCAAUGUCCAAUUGCAGAAGAAGAACCGAAUGAAGACGGGACCAAGUUUUUUUAUUUGUUGAAAGAUUUUGAUGAACUAUUAUGGGAUGGCUGUAUAAAUCAUAGUAAAUUAUCGGGUGUUCACCAUCAAGUCGGAUUGUGGGUUGAGUAAGGUCAGUUAUAAAAAAAUUAUCUAAUGGGUGAGAAGUAUUUUACCUAAACAGAACACGCUGAAAGAGAACUUUUAUGUUGCUAAUUCUAUGAUGAAACCCUUCGGUUUAGGAUAUUAGAAAAUUGACAUGUGCCCUAACUUCUGCAUGUUGUACUACCUUGAAAAUGCUAAGCUGAUUGAGUGCAUGACAUGUGGGCAUUCCCGUUACAAACCCAGAAUUGGCAUGGGAAAGGCUCUCAUGGCAUUAAACACAACUUGUUAUACACUAUGCACAUCAUCGACGUCCCUACAGACGGAAUGCGUCCGUCAGUAUUUUAUAAAGAGUUGCAAAAUAUUUACUGAAUAUGCCACACUCACCGACAUCCCUUCAGACAGAAUCAAUUCGUCGGUAUUUCAUAGAGUUGCAAAAUAUUUACUGAAUAUGCCACACUCACCGAUGUCCCUAUAGACAGAAUCAGUCCAUCGGUAUUUCACAGAGAGUUGUGAAAUAUUUACUAAAUAUACCACAAUCAUCGACGUCCCUACAGACAGAAUCCAUCCGUUGGUAUUUAACAGAGUUUAGGAAUUGUUCACCUCGUAUGUCGGUGCAAUACAUAAUUACCGCGUUGCCUUACCAACGAAUUGUGAAAAUUCUGGAGGGUGAUUUAAAUUUUUUGUGUGAAAUUAAAAAAUUUAAAGUGAAUUCACCGACGUAAUAAUUAAAAAUAAUAUUAUCUCAACGAGUCUGUUGGCAAAAUCACAGUAUAACUCUCAUCGAGAGCCCCUUCAGUUCAUUGUUUUUGCUCUCGUUCGUUUUAUCCAUUUUCUUCCUCUCAUUCUUUCAAAACAUUUCUUGUUUUUUUCUUGUAAUCUCUAGCUAUAAUUUUAUCUUCAUUUUCAACAAAUUAAAAGUUAUGUAAUGUGAUUCAACUCAUUCUUUGUUUUAUUAACUAUAUAUAGUUUUUAAUUUUCUUUGUUUUUUUUGUAUUGUACGUGGAUAAAGUCUAGAAAUAAACAAACUAUUAAGGUAAGCAUUUUUCAUUUCAAAAGUCUAUAGUUUGUUUUUUUUAAUUUGUUGUCUAUUUUAUUGUUUGUAUUGCCAUAAUAAUUGAAUACUUUGUUGAAUUUUAAUUGUUAUUGUUGAAUUUUCCUUGUAAAUUUUAAUUGAAUAUAUAUGAUUAAAUUUAAUUAUUUUAUCUCAAUUUUACUCUAUUCUUGCGUAAUGGAGUGUUUGAUUGUUUCCAUGAAUUUUAAUUGGUAUUGAUGAAUUUUUAUAGAUGUUAGUUGAAUAUAUGGAAUUAAAUUAUUUUUCUUUGUUUUAUUGUUAAAUUUGUAUAGAUGUUAGGUUAUAUAUAAGACUUUUUUUCUUUAUUUUAUGGUUAGAAACUUUUUAUUAUCAUUUUGAAAAUGAGAUGGAAUUGAAAAAUAUGAAAUUUCCAUUAUAAAUAAAAUAAAAUCAACUGAUUUGUGGCUUAUAUAUUGUCAAUAUUUGAAGGUUUGAAAAUUUUGGAUAGUCUCUAGUAUAUGGGAGAUGUUGCCUGAAAGUUUUUUAAAUAAUCAAAUUUGAUUGUAUAGUUAUUCUUUCAAUUUGUAUAAAUGCGUAAAACAAAAUCAAUAGCUUGUCGCUCACAUAUGAUCGUAGCUAGUUCUUCUCGUAGUGAGGAUGACAUGUCCUUAAGUGUCGAUCAAGAAAAGGCACAUGUGUCGACUCGCGAUGCUGCCUCUUCUAGCAUGGUUCCACAGCGCAAAGGCAGCGUGCCUUCACAGCGAGGUCAAUUCACCCACAAGUACGAGGCACAUUGAAAGGACGACCUUUCAAUAUAAGUUUGUUGUGUUUUAGUUUUUUUUACUUAUAACAUAAUUUGUGAACAACUAAUUAAUAUUUUAGUAUUUUUAUGUUCACAUACAUUGAGGUCACUCGAGUAAUAACAUCGGGGUUUAAAUCGCAAUGGAGAUUCCAUUAUUUUAACGGAGUCAGGUUUCCAAACAUCCUGAUCCGAGACCUUAUAUCGAUGUAUGGUUUCAAAGAUAUGAGAUUGGUGUUAACUUAUAAUUUUAUUUAUUUUUAAUAAUUUAUUAUUUUAAAUAAUUUAUUAUUUUUAUUUUAAAUAAAGUUUUUAUACACAUAACAAAAUCAAGUGGGAUAGCGUGCAUGACAAUGUUGCUAGGCCGGUGCGGGAGAAUCACACGGCAAAUAGGUAACAUCGAAAACAAUAUAAUAUUUUAAUAUAUAUAUAUAUAUAUAUAUAUUUCAAAUCUAAUUUGUCAUUAACUCGUAUAAAAUUCGUUGAUGGAAGUAGGUUGCAUGAUUUUUGAUAUGAAGCGCAUAAAAAAGCCAAAAAAUACGCUAGAGAUAAUGGUUUAUGAGGCUGGAAUGACAUGGCGGUUUGGAGGAAUUUCAGGCCACCAUACAUCCUGGAGGAUAUAUGACCGCAAUAUAUCCAGCAUGUGAUGUCUAAGCAGAUUACACGACGCUCAUAGUUUUCAUGCCAACAAUCAAAAUCGGCAAAUUCAUGGUUCGGCGACCACACACACUGGCGAGUCCGUUGCAUUCACUGCACAUGCAAAGAAGAUAGUAAGAUUAAUUUUAAUAAAAUCUAUCAUUAAUUAAUUUGUUGUUAUUUAUAAAUAUAUUGAACUUGCAAUAGUAAAAAAAUUUUUACUUGCAGGCUACGUAUCUUGGACAUGAGCAAAGCCCAAUGAAGCUGUUUAUGGAUACCCACGUGUGAAGAUCAGAUCGCCAAAGAGGGGUAAAAUAGUUGGUCGACAAUCAUGCUCAACACUUCGUGGUAUGUUUGUUCAAUCAUUUUAUUUUGUAAGAAAUUAUUUUCUUCAAAUUGAAUAUGAUGAUUUCUUUUUUAAUUUUCAAGAGACAUAUAAUAGCCAGUUGAGGGAGAGAUAUAGGGAAGAUCCUUCGACACACCUGGAUUUCGUUCCGGAUUUGUGGAUGAAGGCAGAAUCAUUUGGUGGACUAGAUAAAAAUAAGGUGUACGGACUCUCCAACACUAUGACCGAUAACUUGCGAGCGGCUUGUAGUGUCUCAAUCGUUGGGAGCUCCUAAUCAAUAUCGAGCACCCAGUCUGAGGAGAUCAUGGCCUUGAAACAACAAUAUCAGCAACUCUCGAUGGAUUAUGAAUAACUCCGCCAGCUCGUCAUGGACAUGAGAUCACAGAUGAGUGGUACGUGUGUGUCCCUUUUCUAGCCGUAUAGUCUCGGGAACGACCAACCUCCUCCUCCAACUCCGCUAUUGUUCUAGUUCAAUUUUUUUUUAAAACACUUUAAAAUUGUAAUGAAUAUUUGGAUGAAUAUUAUUUAACUUUUUUAUUUUUUAUACAAUUUAAUUUGCUUAAUUGGUUUCUUUACUAUUAUUCAAUACAAUUUUAUAUUAUUUAUUCUACGGAAUUUUAUUUUUAAAUUAUAACCAAUGAAUUUACAGACGGAAUUGUUCUGUCGGUAUUUCACAUAGAGUUACAAAAUAUUUACUGCAUAUGCCACAAUCACCGACGUCUCUACAAACAAAAUCUGUCCGUUGGAAUUUCACAGAGAGUUGUGAAAUAUUUAUUGAAUAUGACACAAUCACAGACAACGUGAUCCAUCGGUGAUUUACCGUUGGCAAUCUAGAUAGAAUAAUUCCGUCAGUAUAUUUCCAGCGGCAGUGUUUUUUUUACGCAUAUUUUCCGUCUGUAAAAUCAUCGGGUUUCUUUUUUUACCAACAAAAGUAGUGACCAAAUGGAAUCACCGACGAACGGUAUUUCGAUGAACGAAUUCCAUCAGUGACAUCAAUAAAUUGAGAUUCACAUUAAUAAUUGUCUUAACCGAGAAAUGUAAAGAUGUUAUUUAUGCCAAACAAAAUAAAUCUAAAAAUAUAUGGCCAAUAAAUUGAGAAAGUGCUAUUAAUAGCAAUGAAAUUCUAAAAAAAAAAGAUAAUCAUUCCCUAGGAGUAAAAGAUAGAUAAAUAUGACAUCUAACUUCAAUUUUUUCCUUUGACUAACACAAUUUUUUUAAAUUUUAAUGGCCAUUGUUUCUCACCAAGAAUAAAUGAUUUUUGUUUUUAAGAAUAAAUUUUACUUAUAUAAAUAUAAAAUAUAAUAAAAUUUAUAGAUAAAUUAUAAUAAUAUCUUAGAAACAUUAAACACAUACAAAAUAGUUAUAAAAUUAUAAGUCAGAUUCAUGUAUAUUUGUUUUUCUCUACAUACAUAUUACUGAUUUUAAUAUAUCAAGAGAGUUAUUUUUUAGGCGAUUAGAACGACCACUAGUCAAACCUAUUAACCAAGCAAUGGAAAACCUAAUCUUCGUGACACAAUAAAUAAUCUAAAAAAUACAAUGACACAACUAGGUCUAGAAGCUAAAGAGCAAUUUCUAGCCAGACAAUCCCAGCCAAAACCAGUCAAAGAUGAUAAAAGAACCACAUAAAACCAAGCUACUCCAUUUAAGUUAGAUGCACACUCCCUAAUUUUAUUUUAUUUUUUUUAUAUUCAUGUAUGUCCAUUUAAAACCUAAUUUUCUUGUGAGGUUUUUUCGCGAGCGGAGCUGUCUACAAAAAGCUAUCUCAUUCACUUUCAGUCCUCCUAGCUGGCCAAGCACUGUAAUGUUAACGAUAGAUGCAUUAGGUUGGCAAUGAAACAACGCGCUAUUUACCUGUCAUGUCACCACUGGCCACUUUAACCCACUCUCCGCGUAGCUUCCCUCCCCAGGAUUUCAACUCUUCCCUGAGACUAUAUAUACCCAAUCUCCUCCUCCGUUUCUCUCCACUCACAAAAUCCUCUCUUCCAUCACUACCGAUCCUCAGAUCAAUCAUGGCCUCCUUUCUUUCUUCACAUUCUCUUCUUCAACUUGCUCUGUUAAUCUCUAUUAUACAAUUCAGCUCAGCUGCAAGGACCUUCUCCGUGUCAGAUCAAAGCCAGGAUCCCUUGUUCUUUCAAUACCACAAUGGCCCUCUUCUCACCGGUGAAGUUUCUAUCAACUUGAUCUGGUAUGGCAACUUUAAGCCAUCGCAGCGAGCCAUUGUCUCAGAUUUUAUUGCCUCUGUCUCUUCUAGAAGACCCACAACAGCCCAACCCUCUGUGGCCACGGGUGGAAAGCCACUGAGAAAUAUUACAACCUUGUCAAGACGAAGAAAACCUCUCCUCUUCUCCUUCUCCGUAGGAGCCACAGAUUUUAGACGAGAGCUAUUCGUUGGGGAAAUCGCUCUCCAGCAAGCAAAUCGUGCAGCUAGCAUCGAAGGGUGGUCAAAAGGGUGCAAUCAACGUUGUUUUUGACAUCAUCCGAUGUUGCUGUUGAAGGUUUUGCUCUAGUAAAUGUGGUACUCAUGGGUCCUCCUUGAGCGCUAAAACAAUCAGCGGUAAGAGAUCUAAAUUUGCUUACAUUUGGGUCGGUAACUCUGAGACUCAAUGCCCCGGCCAGUGUGCGUGGCCAUUCCACCAGCCAAUCUAUGGACCACAGAACCCUCCAUUGGUUGCACCCAACAAUGAUGUGGGUCUUGAUGGUAUGGUGAUUCAAUCUGGCUAGUCUUUUGGCUGGGACUGCAACAAACCCAUUUGGAAAUGGCUACUUCCAGGGUCCGAAGGAGGCUCCUCUUGAGGCCGCAUCUGCUUGUCCUGGGGUCUAUGUAAGGUGCGUAUCCUGGUUAUGCUGGGAUUUGUUAGUGGACUCUGCAACUGGUGCUAGCUAUAAUGCUCAUGGUGUUAAUGGAAGGAAAUACGUGCUUCCAGCUUUAUUUGACCCUUCAACUUCAACUUGUUCCACUUUAAUUUGAGAAGGGAUCGCAUCGCAUUAGUGUGUAUGAGAGUACCGUAGAGCUGUAGGAGAGAUUAUUCUUUGAUUUAAUCAUUCUUUCAUUCAAUUAUAAUGAAAUCAAAUUUUCAGCAUGUUUGAAUUAAUGUUGCCUCUUGAAUAUGUUGAUUCAAUACUAAACUGACUUGUCUCUUCUUCGAAUUGAAUUUGAUUAAUUGACUAGAGAAAGCAAAAAGGACAGUUUUUUUUUUCAAUUCAGAUUCCUAAUCACGAAAUUAAUAUUCAUUUCUUAUUUUUUAUUGUGUUGUGUUGUAACCUAUUUUUGGGUCCCCAAAUAAAUAAAAUAAAAUAAAUAGCCAAAUAAGGUUAGAAAAAUAACAGGAGGCAGAAGCGCUCAGCAAAUGGUCAGAAAAAUCGGUCAAGGAGGUUAAAAAUACAAGGAUGAAUUUUUUACAAUAUAUUCUUGAAUGAUAAGAGCCAUAUGGAGAAGGAAAGUUUGAAUUUUGAUGAGAAAAACCCAAAUUUGGAUGUUUAUGGACUUAAUUGGAUUUUUAUUUGAAUUUAUAGGAUUUGAUUGCAAGAAAAAUUGUUUUUAAGUCAAUUUGGGCUUUAAUUGAAGAAAUUUAAGUUCUGGGGCCAAAUUAUAAUUUUUAGGAAUUUAUUAAGUCAAAUCAGGGGCUUAAUUGCAUAAAUAUUGAAGUUUAAUGGCCAAUUAGGGACUUAAUUGAGAAAAUCCGAAACUAGGGACCAAUUUGGAAAAGGUGCCUUAAAUUACUGUUCACUUUCUUCCUCAAAAAGCUGCCUGAGUGGCUGCUUUCCAGGCGCGUUUUCCGGCUCGUGUGGCCUCCAAAUCCGACACAACAUACACCAACAUGUCCACAUGAACCCCUUUAUCCCGGAGAAUGAUCAGGUCGGGUCGAAAAAGUCAUAAACGGCUCCGGUGAGUGGCUCAAAGUGGCCACCUCGGGCAGUUCACAGCCUGGAGCUGCCAAAUUUGGCAGCUCGAGGUGCACACUUUGAGCCAACGGUUGAGAUGCUUCCCAACUGAAUCAAGGGCUGAAAUUUUUCCCCAACGUAGACAAGAUUGCCCUCUUCCACAGCCUAUAAAUAGAGUCGGAUUUGAUGAUCUGAGGGUUGAAAAAUUCAGGUCCAAAGUCAGCCAAAAACCAGCAUUUUCGCCCAAUUUCUGCAGAUUUUUCUUCUUCUUCUUUCUUCCUCUGCAACAGGAAACCGACGCCGUCUUCCUCCAACUCCACCGCUGCAACCACCGGCUGAACCACCUCAUCACAGCAGCCACAACCUCUUCGGCCAAGUGAGCCCCUCUUCCUUUCCUCCUCCUUCCUUUUCCUUUCCUCCUCCUCUCUUCUUCUUCCUCCCUGUCUACUGUUCACUGCAUGAACAGUAGGCGUGAAAUAUAAUUCACGUCCUACUGUUCACGCAGGACGUGAAUUAUAUAUAUAUGUGUGUGUGUGUGUAUUAUUUAUAUUUUAUAAAUAUAAAAUAUUUUAUAUUAUAUGUAUAAAAAUAAAAAAAAUAUUUUGAAAAAUCUUAAAAAAUAUUGUUGAUUUUCUGCAUGUUUUUGUCAAAGUGGUUUAAUGUUGGUUUGUAUUUUUAUACCGUAAAGAUACAAAACCAGUGUUAAAAAUACCCGGUUUUCGUCAAAAUAUCAAAGAUUUUCAGAAUAAAAAAUGUUUUUGCUUUCAAAAAAAUUCUAAAAAGUCCCUAAAAAUGUUGUUGAUUUUUCUGCAUAUUUUUAUCAAAGUGGAUUAAUAUUGGGUUGUAUUUUUAUACCGUAAGAAUACAAACCCAGUAUUAAAAUACCCGAUUUUUGUUAAAGCAUCAAAAAAUAAUAUUUUCCAAAAAAGGUUUUUGUUUUAAAUACGGCCUAGUCUCUCCAAUAUAUAUAUAUAUAAUAUAUAUAUAUAUAUCAUCAUAUUUUCACACAACAAAGAAAAUUUUCAAAACAAUAUAUGUAUUAGCAUGCAUUUUGGCUUUAAUAACCAGUUUAUUCAAGCCAUGAGAACUAGGCCAAUAUUUCAAAAAUUCAAAAAAUUACUUUUUGUUUUCUUUUAGUAUUUGGGAUUACGAAUUUAUACGUAAAACGUAUUCCCAAAUAUUAUUAAUAAAGUUUUGGUAUAGACGUUAGAACGGUUAGGAUUUUACCCGAUAAGAUAAAGCUUUUCUUACCGAGAAGGAUUUUUCUUGAACCAUAGACAGACCAACAACUAGGAAAACACGAAAAUAUCUUAGAUUUUAUCAGACAAUAAAACAAUGCAGCUUACCUUAGGUAGGGCGUAUUUGGAGUGCUAAUACCUUCCCUGUACGCAACCAGUCCCCGUACCCGAUCUCUGAGACCAGUUAGGGUUCCUAGUGACCAAAAUACUAGGUGGCGACUCCCAUUCCAUUUUCUACCAAAAAGACAAUAUUUUCUCGUAUCCCCAUAAAUAUAGAUAGAUUUACAUUGUAGAUUAAGAAAAUGGAAGCAAACACUUGUAGUUUUUCGCCGCGACGCCGCACACGUGCAACAUGCUGUAUCAUCAACAAUUAAUAAAAAAAAAUAUUAAAAGAGUGAAUAAUUUUUUAUUGUGUUAUUGAACCUGAUUUAAUGAGACAAACUUGAAAUCUCGCCACCUGAUUUAAUGUUUGCCCACCUCUAGUUUCAGACUAAAUUGCAUUAGAGUUAUAUCAAUAUUGUGAUAUGUAUAUAUCAUGUUGUAUUAUAUAGUUUUAAAUGUUUUAUAAAUAUAUAUUUUGACUUGGACUCAGGUAAGUUUCAUAUUGGAUUUGAUAAUAUUUAUAUUUUAUCCAUUAUAUAUUAGAUAAGGUAAUUAUCUAAAUAUUAUCCACUAAUUCAGGUCAAAUCAAAUCAGGUCGAUAUUUAUCGAUUUUGAAUUAAAUGGUUGUCUAUACUAAUAAAUUAGGCUCAUUAAGUUAUGAGGGAUUCAUAAUAGAAUUAUGAUAUAUACACCGACUAGUUUCACCUGAUAGGCUAAACUAGUUAUUUGACCAAUGCUUCACUGUGAAUUAGAUAAUAAAAAAAAUUAGAAAAAAAAUAAGCAUACUUUUUCAAUGCUUUUUUUUACUAAAAAAAUCUUAAUCAUAAAUAAAUUAAAAAAUCUAUACAUACAUUUAAUUUAAUAAAUGAAGAUUCAUUUGUGCCAAUAAAUACAAAAAAAAAAAGGUGUUAGCAUAUCUAUAAAAUUAAAUAUCAUCUUUGGGCCCAUUAAGUUGUGAUGAAUUUAGAAUAGAAUCAUGACAUAUGCAUCGAUUAGCUUCACCAAAUAGGCUAAACUAAGUAUUAGACUCGCGCUUAGUUAUAGAUUGGAUAAUUUGUUUUGGAAAAAAAAAACAAAUAUGCAGCCUUUUCAACAUUUCUUUUGACUAAAAAAAUCCUAAUCAUAAAAAAAAAACAUAUACAAUAAUUUAAUUAAAUAAAUCGAGAAUUAUUUAUGUCAUCAAUAAAUGUGAAACAAAAGGUCUAUUCAAUUCACCUCGUUGCGGGUAAGAUAAAAAAAAAAUUAUAAUGCAAAAGAAUGAAUGAGAGUGUGUUGUUAAAAUAUUUUGUGACAUCGAAUAAAAAAUAUAACUAUAAAUUGAAAAUCCAAUGCUUAUAUUUAAUAAAAUAAAACAAGGAUCAUGUGCAUUAAGAAAAACAUAUAUAAUCUCAAGUUAAUUUUUAACAUAGUAGAAAAAUAAAAUAUUAUUGUGAGUGUGUUUCACUAUAUCAUGAUUGAUACAAUCCAAAAAUCAAUGGUAAAAAAGCUUAAAGAUGCAUUCAAUGAACUUAUUUAGAGUAACUGAUCCAAAGUGAAUUUUAAGAAAGUUACAACUUCAACAAGUGAUAAUCAGAUAUUAAUCAAUCUAAUAUAUGUAAAAGUGGAGUUUGAUCCAUCUACAACAUGGGCCUAAUUAUUUCACAAUGAUGGGCUAAUUAAUUUAGGCAUUAGAGGCGGUUUGGGGUUUGUUUUUUCUAAUACACAGUUUUACUCUAACAAUUAUAAUUUUUAAAUCAUAAUUGUUAACAAUGCAUUAGAUUGAAAUUAUACCUAAAGUUUUUGGAAGUCUUGUUCUAUUUUUACUUAAAAUUCUAAAGCAAUCGGAGACUAGAAAGGCUUUGUGAUAAGCUCCAGAAGCUACUAUGUAAAAAUUGUAUUAGUUUUCCAAUUGAUUUAAGAUUUCUUUUCCUAUUUUAUUUAGAAUUCUUUUAUUAUUUUUCCAGUAUUGUUUAUAAAGUUUUGACAUAUUAUAAAGAGGGUUAUUUAGCUUCUAUUUAUGGGGUUUUUUGGGGGACAAACUUUAAUUUUGUAAUUAUUAUUGUGUGUGUGAGGUUUUGCUCAUAUCUUUUGGUUUCUAAUUGAACUACUAUGGCUUAUCAAAUAAUUAAUCAAGAUUUAUGAUGUCUUCCAUACUUUACAUUCGUGUUUCUUUAUAGGCAAUGAGUGAGAGUUCGAUUACUUAUAGUUUUGGUGUCUCAGCACAAGUUAUGGUUGUGUCAAGCUUAAUUUUUUUUAAUCUUAAUGGUCAUUCUUUCAUAACCAAGAAUAAAUAAUUUUUAUUUUUAAGAAUAAUUCUUACUUAUAUAAAAAAUAUAUAAAAAAUAUAUAGAUGAAUUAUAAUAAUAUCUUAGAAACAUUAAAUACAUACAAAAUAUUUACAAAAUUAUCGCUAUUUAAAAAAAGCUAAAUAAACAAUCUAAAAAAGUUAAAGAGAAUAGAUAUUGAUUUAAAUAUAAAUUAAAAAUUUUAAAUAAAAAUACAUAUUAAAAAUAUAUCAAUUAAAAAAAUAAAAAAUAAAAAACAAAAUCAGGUUGAGUGGUCUUGGGUCGGUUUAUGAGCCUUACUCAUUUUGAAAAAAGCAUGGACAACAUUGACAUACAUCUUUUUUUUUUUUUUAAAUGGAUGAAUAGUUUAAAACACCAAUUUCUUCACCGAUGACAUAAUAUUUCCUCCAUGAAAAAUUUUCAAGGCCAAUAAACAAUUUCUAGGAAAACAAUCCCAGCUAUAGCUAGUCAAAGAUCAUAUAAAAGCCACACAAAAUCAUGCUAGUCCAUUUAAGUUAGAUGCAUCAUAGUUUUAAGACCUGAUUCGAUUUAAGACUUGGAUUCUAAAUUUUAACUGGGUCAAUUUGUUUUUUAAAAAAUCAAAACGAUAUCUUUUUAGUAAAAUAAUAUAGAAGUCAACAGGUUUGCGGACGGAUCUUGACCUGAUCAGCCGAGUUACAUCGGGUUUUUUUUUUUCAACUCGGUUCAGUUCUUGCCCUGAGUUGGCCAGGUCUCGAAUAGAUCCACCGAGCUAGACCGAGUUUCAAACUAUAAGAUGCGCACUCCCUAAUUUUUUUUAAUUUUAUAUUUGUUUUUCUCUACAUACAUAUUACUGAUUUAAAUAUAUCAAGAGAGUUAUUUUUUAGGCGAUUAGAACAACCACUAGUCAAACAUAUUAACCAAGCAAUGGAAAACCUAAUCUUCGUGUGAGGUUUUUUCGCGGCUUGAUAAGCGGAGCUGUCUACAAAAAGCUAUCUCAUUCACUUUCGGUCCUCUUAGCUGGCCAAGCACUGUAAUGUUAACAAUAGAUGCAGUUGAAAACGAGAGUAGCGGCGCGCGCAUUAGGUUGGCAAUGAAAAAACGCGCUAUUUAUCUGUCAUGUCACCACUGGCCACUUUCAAUUCUCAACCCACUCUCCGCGUAGCUUCCCUCCCCAGGAUUUCAACUCUUCCCUGAGACUAUAUAUACCCAAUCUCCUCCUCCGUUUCUCUCCACUCACAAAAUCCUCUCUUCCAUCACUACCGAUCAUCAGAUCAAUCAUGGCCUCCUUUCUUUCUUCACAUUCUCUUCUUCAACUUGCUCUGUUAAUCUCUAUUAUACAAUUCAGUUCAGCAGCAAGGACCCUCUCCGUGUCAGAUCAAAGCCAGGAUCCCUUGUUGUUUCAAUACCACAAUGGCCCUCUUCUUACCGGUGAAGUUUCUAUCAACUUGAUCUGGUAUGGCAACUUUAAGCCAUCUCAGCGAGCCAUUGUCUCAGAUUUUAUUGCCUCUGUCUCUUCUAGAAGACCCACAACAGCCCAACCCUCUGUGGCCACGUGGUGGAAAGCCACUGAGAAAUAUUACAACCUUGUCAAGACGAAGAAAACCUCUCCUCUUCUCCUCUCCGUAGGAGCACAGAUUUUAGACGAGAGCUAUUCGUUGGGGAAAUCGCUCUCCAGCAAGCAAAUCGUGCAGCUAGCAACGAAGGGUGGUCAAAAGGGUGCAAUC